RNAcentral lists this ribosomal RNA (492 nucleotides) under uncultured bacterium. RNAcentral describes it as "partial 16S ribosomal RNA". It matches the Rfam family "Bacterial small subunit ribosomal RNA", at positions 29 to 507 of the family's 1533-position model. The record is from RNAcentral.
AGUGAACGCUGGCGGUAGGCCUAACACAUGCAAGUCGAACGGCAGCACAGUAAGAGCUUGCUCUUACGGGUGGCGAGUGGCGGACGGGUGAGGAAUACAUCGGAAUCUACUUUUUCGUGGGGGAUAACGUAGGGAAACUUACGCUAAUACCGCAUACGACCUACGGGUGAAAGCAGGGGAUCUUCGGACCUUGCGCGAUUGAAUGAGCCGAUGUCGGAUUAGCUAGUUGGCGGGGUAAAGGCCCACCAAGGCGACGAUCCGUAGCUGGUCUGAGAGGAUGAUCAGCCACACUGGAACUGAGACACGGUCCAGACUCCUACGGGAGGCAGCAGUGGGGAAUAUUGGACAAUGGGCGCAAGCCUGAUCCAGCCAUACCGCGUGGGUGAAGAAGGCCUUCGGGUUGUAAAGCCCUCUUGUUGGGAAAGAAAAGCAGCAGGUUAAUACCCCGCUGUUCUGACGGUACCCAAAGAAUAAGCACCGGCUAACUUCAUG